This 323-nucleotide ribosomal RNA is filed under the name uncultured eukaryote. RNAcentral describes it as "partial 18S ribosomal RNA". It matches the Rfam family "Eukaryotic small subunit ribosomal RNA", at positions 1470 to 1796 of the family's 1831-position model. The record is from RNAcentral.
CCCUUAGAUUUUCUGGGCUGCACGCGUGCUACACUGAUAUUGCCAAUAUGUCAUUCUUAUCCGAAAUGGAUUGGGUAAUCAAGUAAUGAAAUUUCAUGCUUGGAAUCGGUAAUUGCAAUUUUAUCGUGAACGAGGAAUUCCUAGUAAGCACUAGUCAUCAGCUAAUGUUGAUUAUGUCCCUGCCCUUUGUACACACCGCCCGUCGCUACUACUGAUUGGGUGUUCAAGUGAGAUGCUUAGACCCUUGUUGCAUGGUUCAUUAUUGUGCUCCGAAAGGAAAAAGUUUCAAGCUUGAGUGUCUAGAGGAAGUAAAAGUCGUAACA